GACGUAGGGCGCAAGCGUUGUCCGGAUUUAUUGGGCGUAAAGAGCUCGUAGGCGGCUUGUUGCGUCGACCGUGAAAACCCGUGGCUCAACUGCGGGCUUGCGGUCGAUACGGGCGGGCUAGAGUUCGGUAGGGGAGACUGGAAUUCCUGGUGUAGCGGUGAAAUGCGUAGAUAUCAAGAGGAACACCUGAGGUGAAGACGGGUUGCUGGGCUGACACUGACGCUGAGUGCGCGAAAGCCAGGGGAGCAAACGGG
This 254-nucleotide ribosomal RNA is filed under the name uncultured bacterium. Its description in RNAcentral is "partial 16S ribosomal RNA". It matches the Rfam family "Bacterial small subunit ribosomal RNA", at positions 524 to 776 of the family's 1533-position model. The record is from RNAcentral.